CACUAACGCUGGCGGCAUGCCUAACACAUGCAAGUCGAACGAAGGCUUCGGCCUUAGUGGCGCACGGGUGCGUAACGCGUGGGAAUCUGCCCUUAGGUUCUGAAUAACAGUUAGAAAUGACUGCUAAUACCGGAUGAUGACGUAAGUCCAAAGAUUUAUCGCCUGAGGAUGAGCCCGCGUAGGAUUAGCUAGUUGGUGUGGUAAAGGCGCACCAAGGCGACGAUCCUUAGCUGGUCUGAGAGGAUGAUCAGCCACACUGGGACUGAGACACGGCCCAGACUCCUACGGGAGGCAGCAGUGGGGAAUAUUGGACAAUGGGCGCAAGCCUGAUCCAGCAAUGCCGCGUGAGUGAUGAAGGCCUUAGGGUUGUAAAGCUCUUUUACCCGUGAUGAUAAUGACAGUAGCGGGAGAAUAAGCCCCGGCUAACUCCGUG
Molecule: ribosomal RNA, 433 nt
Filed under: uncultured bacterium
Lineage: Bacteria
Description: partial 16S ribosomal RNA
Rfam family: Bacterial small subunit ribosomal RNA
Source: RNAcentral